CUCUCUCUCUCUCUCUGUAUUUGUUCUUUUUUCCUGGGGGAUGUGUCAUGUGGCUAGUAGCAGUAACAGCAGUAUGUUGUGAGGCAGAGCUAUGGAAAAUAAUAUGUUGUGAGGAUGUUGCUUGUUAUAAACAGGGUUAUGAGCUAUUAGGUCAGAUGGAGCCAUAUAUCAACAAGAUUACUAGUACCGAUAGCAAAUGUUGCAGCGGUGGCUACUGAUCCCAUUAUGGUAACUUUUACUAGUGAUCUUCUGUGUUGCAAUUGUACUUAUAGUUACAUUCAGGUUUUCUGAACUUGUUGGACCCAACUUGGUCCAUGGAUCUGCCACUUUUACCUUAGAAAGGAACAUUGGCGUUGUAACAAAGCUUCUUUUUACUACAAGAAGCUCAAGAGGUCGUCAAUUUAUGCUCAAGCUGGAAGGGAAGCUAGCUAGGAAGGAGCUUAGGAGGCUUAAAAUGGUCUUCGAAGUUGUGUAUGAGGUAUAGUGCGAUGGAGAUGGAGAUGGAGUCCUUGGUGAUGUUUUAAGAAGAGGUGACAUGAUUAAGUGGCCAAAUAGCAAAUGGCAAUGU
Long non-coding RNA from Papaver somniferum (opium poppy), 568 nucleotides. RefSeq lists it as uncharacterized. The record is from RefSeq and is a predicted model, not a curated record. Lineage: Eukaryota; Viridiplantae; Streptophyta; Magnoliopsida; Ranunculales; Papaveraceae. The transcript has 5 exons.